This 301-nucleotide ribosomal RNA is filed under the name uncultured bacterium. Its description in RNAcentral is "partial 16S ribosomal RNA". It matches the Rfam family "Bacterial small subunit ribosomal RNA", at positions 509 to 807 of the family's 1533-position model. The record is from RNAcentral.
CAGUCGCCGCGGGAAUACGUAGGGUGCGAGCGUUAAUCGGAAUUACUGGGCGUAAAGCGUGCGCAGGCGGUUUUGUAAGACAGAGGUGAAAUCCCCGGGCUCAACCUGGGAACUGCCUUUGUGACUGCAAGGCUAGAGUACGGCAGAGGGGGAUGGAAUUCCGCGUGUAGCAGUGAAAUGCGUAGAUAUGCGGAGGAACACCGAUGGCGAAGGCAAUCCCCUGGGCCUGUACUGACGCUCAUGCACGAAAGCGUGGGGAGCAAACAGGAUUAGAUACCCCCGUAGUCCCUGUCUCUUAUAC